Molecule: long non-coding RNA, 638 nt
Organism: Oncorhynchus masou masou (cherry salmon)
Lineage: Eukaryota; Metazoa; Chordata; Actinopteri; Salmoniformes; Salmonidae
Exons: 4
Source: RefSeq, a predicted model, not a curated record
UAUGGCAGCAUCUUCGGGUGUGCGUCAAGAAUUCUUGUUGAAGUAGCACGUUUGUAUGAAGGUGUAGUUAUUCACAGGCAAAUUGUUAUACGCUAUGGAGGUACAUUGGUGUCUUUUUGUCGAGAGCAAAACCUUUUUUAUUUUCAAUCAAAAAGAAUUGUUCUGAAAGCAACUUUUUCCGACACGAAGGAAGUGAAAGCGGACACCUACGAAGAUGGCAUCUCAGAGCGAGCUGAUCAAGGGGUCAAAAAUGUAGACAUUGCCAGAUGUUCACUGUCCGAGAAACAGGCUGUGGAAGAAUUAUUGCUGGCAAAAGUGUCCAUAACCAGAGGUUAUAUCAGCUGUUUUGGUGAACCCCUCCCGCAUCUGAACUGGCUGACACAGAGAGCACAGCAUAAAGUACUCUGUAGCCACUUAGUGUGGACACCAGGUUAUAUCAGCUGUUUUGGUGAACCCCUCCCGCAUCUGAACUGGCUGACACAGAGGACACAGCAUGAACGGGUCAACAGGAAAAUAUUAUUAAAGAGAUGCUUUACAUUGAAAUACAGACAGAGAUGUAGUAGUACCAGAGUUAAUGAUCCAAGGUCUGUUUUGCAAUUCAACGCAUGAUUUAAGAUGACUGACUGUGUUAGAGUAAA